Molecule: long non-coding RNA, 1098 nt
Filed under: Anas platyrhynchos platyrhynchos (common mallard)
Lineage: Eukaryota; Metazoa; Chordata; Aves; Anseriformes; Anatidae
Description: lncRNA (ENSAPLG00000018617.1)
Source: RNAcentral
GGGAGAAAAUAGGUAGGGAUGGAGGACACUUGGAUCCACUGAACUGAGAUGUGUCAAAAGAGACUUCCAAGAGACACGAGAGAAAUCUGACUUGUGAAGUCAGAAGGCACCCUGCAACCUUUCAUCCUAUCUGGAGAGACUUCAGUUGUAGAUAAUGCUACUGUGCAUUUCAAAUCCAAGGACUCUGCCUCUCAACUGAUGACUACUUGCCUAAACAAGAAGGGGCUUCCCUCCCUCUCUCUCUCCUUCCUUCCUUCCUUCCUUCCUUCCUUCCUUCCUUCCUUCCUUUUCCCAGCAAAAUUUAAUUUUAUUUUUUUAAUUUUUGCUCUUACUUAAUACCACAGCAGCUGACUUGCAGUUGGUCAUUCUAGAAUGAAGACGACUGUUUGCCAAGUGUAUUGGUGACGUAAGUGGAGAAGAAACACUGACUUGAGUGCACAGCAAUAACAGAAAAUAGGUUUAGAAAGUACCCUGUUGUAUCAUUUCUAUACACUUGACACAGGGCAAUGUUCUUAGACUCUAAUGAAGGAGAAGCUGUCUGUCCCCCAGCUAUCUAUUCCAGUACUUCCCCUUUUCUAGGAUUAGGAAGCUUUUGUGAUGAUCUAAGUAGAAUCUUUCUUGCUGCAGUUUAGGCCUGGGGUGUCACACCCUCCAUCAGGAAAAAAAGGGGAACAGGCUCUUCUUUUCCUUUACAAAACAAAGAUUUGUGUGUCUGGAGUUUAUUAGUAGGUCUCUCUCAGUCUUCUCCUCUUCAGGCUAAACAAGUGCAGCUUGUGCAGUCUUUGCUCAUAGGCACUUUUUUACAGCCCUCUGUUUGUUCUUACUGCUUCCCUCUGGCUUGUCUCCGACAGUCUGCGCUUUGCCAGGAGUGUCAAGAGCUCACCAAAGUCACCAUGUGGUGGCAGGACAGCCCGGCAGUGCGAUAACACACAGGGAUCUCAGAACAUGCAGCAGCUCAUUUGGAAAAAACAAUCCUCACAAGCUUCACGGAAAGGAGAGUAUUUCAUCCAUGCUACCAAGAGGAUAUUGAGAUACAGAAAAACUGGUGUCAACUGCAGAAGUACAUUUCUCUUAAGUCCUGAAAUAGAAGUGCAAUAG